Molecule: ribosomal RNA, 1898 nt
Filed under: Triticum aestivum (bread wheat)
Lineage: Eukaryota; Viridiplantae; Streptophyta; Magnoliopsida; Poales; Poaceae
Description: partial small subunit ribosomal RNA
Source: RNAcentral
GUUCUGUAACCUUUUUCGCAAAGAAGAGGUAGCAUAAGUUUUGUAAAUAAUAACGGGGUGUUUGCGUUAUCUGUCAGAAACUCCGUUCCAUGUAACGCAACACCAACACACCCUGCAUACUCUAGGACUCGUAUCAAACGGAGGAGAUUGAUCCCAAAGCCAAAGGCGGCCAGCUUGAUCAGAAUCAGAAGCCUACAAGGCUACGGGAGUUCGUUCGGCGGCAGAAACUCGGGCCGCAAGCUACACGGGGAGGAAGAGUUCGUGCUCCCAAAGGUUCGCACUUGAUCCCUUCUACUUCUCGUAUUUUUUUUAUACUACUACUAUUAUUAUACUCCCUAGCUUUUCCACCUCUUUUGUCGUCUGGCUCUUCUCUCCUGCGUGCGAAGGCCAGAACCUAGAAGCCGCGGCCGCAGCUCUCCCUCCCGGCGCCGCCCGUGGUCGCCGGCGGCAACCAAGAGAAACAGGAUAUUUAUGCCUUUUUCUUGACACGGAAAGCCAAUGGCGAGAGGACUGGAUUCAGAUUAUAUUGGUUCUAUUUCGCUCAUGGAUGGAUUUGAUAUGGGUAUCACGUUUGAUGGGUUUGGAGAAAAUAUGAAGAAGUUCAUGGAGUUACCGAUCAAAUAUCUUGAUUCUGCUCACGAUAAAGCUGUUGAGCUAGUUGAGGAUAUCCAUGCGCUGAUUUACGCUCACUCUCCUGAUGAUAAAUUUCCGGACAAAGACCAUGGGACAUUAACGGAUCCAUCUAAUAACGGUGCCAUAAUCGGAUCUCCCUCCACACGUGUUAAAAUGCAGCAAGUUAACCCUAACGAAGGAUUCUCUGGUUAUCCUUCAUCUCUCGUUACCGCGGAAGACCGUUCUCUCGGCUCAACUGCUACUGAUGUUCAUGAAACUGAGCCUGUUUCAUCUACAAGUCCAGCCAUGUGUGCUUCUGAAGACUCCAUUUCACUUGAGAGAACUGCUGACACCAAGGAGGAAGUUGCUUUUUGCAAUUCAGAGGAUCUCUCAGAUAACUGCACUCCUGAAAAUCACAAUUCACUAGGGGUAUCUGUUAGCAGUGAGGAGGAAAUUAUAUUAUGGAAUCAAUGGAGUUCUGUAACACCACGACAAUCACCUGAGCAAGCCACCGUAGUCCAAGAUUAUGUAUCUGAAGAAGCGAACGGAAAUAAAAUCAUCGAGCAAGUUGAACUCCCUGGUUCAGGACAUUCAGCUGCUUUUGAUGGAGCAAUUCUGCUUGGAAAGGGAAAUGAUGAAGAGCAAUCAGAAUUAUGCAGCGAGAACAGCCAUGAAGAAUCAACAAAGCACGACCUCUGGGAUGGCCAGGAGCAGAUGAAAUAUAACAAAUCAGAGGCAUCCUCGCUUCCUCAACCAAAGAACACAUCAUUCAAGAAAGUGUUGAUGAGGAGCUUGUCGAAUAAACUCCGGUGGUCAAAGAAGGAUAUGAAUGUGCAUCAGGCCGUCCCCUUCAGACCACAGAAAUCAGUAGAUGUUUGCUAUGAAGUAGUUUGUUCAUCAGAUGGUCUGGAGGAUGAUUGGGAACUCUUAUAAAUCUGCAUGAAAUUCAGCAUCUCUGGUUACAGGAGAAAAUCUUGUGUAAAACGAAGUUCCUUGACUACUAUCUCAAAGAGUGCAAAUGUUGAGGGUUUGCAUCUCUACGGCACCAUCUGUCGGUGUAUCGGCAUUACUGUAAAUCUGAGCUGAGGUUAUGUAAUUAUGUAAAGCUCUUCUAGUUUUCUCUUGAUGACCUGAAUUUUGUACUGAUCUGAGCUGGUGCAGCCAAGGGUAUCUGCAACUACAGUAGUUUUCAGCUUCUUAUUCCCCUUAUCUACUAGCAUUUCAGUUUUAAAAUAUACAGAUAUUCGCAUUUCCUCUUCUGUUAAUAAAAGAGAGUUAUCAUUUGC